AUUGAACGCUGGCGGCAGGCCUAACACAUGCAAGUCGAGCGGAUGAAGGGAGCUUGCUCCUGGAUUCAGCGGCGGACGGGUGAGUAAUGCCUAGGAAUCUGCCUGGUAGUGGGGGAUAACGUCCGGAAACGGGCGCUAAUACCGCAUACGUCCUGAGGGAGAAAGUGGGGGAUCUUCGGACCUCACGCUAUCAGAUGAGCCUAGGUCGGAUUAGCUAGUUGGUGGGGCAAAGGCCUACCAAGGCGACGAUCCAUAACUGGUCUGAGAGGAUGAUCAGUCACACUGGAACUGAGACACGGUCCAGACUCCUACGGGAGGCAGCAGUGGGGAAUAUUGGACAAUGGGCGAAAGCCUGAUCCAGCCAUGCCGCGUGUGUGAAGAAGGUCUUCGGAUUGUAAAGCACUUUAAGUUGGGAGGAAGGGCAGUAAGUUAAUACCUUGCUGUUUUGACGUUACCAACAGAAUAAGCACCGGCUAACUUCGUG
Molecule: ribosomal RNA, 484 nt
Filed under: uncultured bacterium
Lineage: Bacteria
Description: partial 16S ribosomal RNA
Rfam family: Bacterial small subunit ribosomal RNA
Source: RNAcentral